GAUGAACGCUGGCGGCGUGCUUAACACAUGCCAGUCGAACGGAAAGGCUCCUGCUUGCCGGGGUACUCGAGUGGCGAACGGGCGAGUAACACGUGGGUGAUCUGCCCUGCACUUCGGGAUAAGCCUGGGAAACUGGGUCUAAUACCGGAUAGGACCACAUUUUGGAUGGUGUGGUGGAAAGUUUUUCGGUGUGGGAUGAGCUCGCGGCCUAUCAGCUUGUUGGUGGGGUAAUGGCCUACCAAGGCGUCGACGGGUAGCCGGCCUGAGAGGGUGUACGGCCACAUUGGGACUGAGAUACGGCCCAGACUCCUACGGGAGGCAGCAGUGGGGAAUAUUGCACAAUGGGCGCAAGCCUGAUGCAGCGACGCCGCGUGGGGGAUGACGGCCUUCGGGUUGUAAACUCCUUUCGCUAGGGACGAAGCGCAAGUGACGGUACCUGGAGAAGAAGCACCGGCUAACUACGUG
Molecule: ribosomal RNA, 465 nt
Filed under: uncultured bacterium
Lineage: Bacteria
Description: partial 16S ribosomal RNA
Rfam family: Bacterial small subunit ribosomal RNA
Source: RNAcentral